UGGCUCAUGCCUGUAACCCCAGCACUUUGGGAGGCCCAGGAGGGCGGAUCACUUGAGGCCAGGAGUUUGAGAUCAGCCUGGCCAACAUGGUGAAGCCCCAUCUCUACUAAAAAAAUACAAAAAAAUAGCCAAGUGUGGUGGUGUGCACCUGUAGUCUCAGCUGCCAGGGAGGCUGAGGCACUAGAAUUGCUUGAACCCAGGAGGCAGAGGUUGCGGUGAGCCAAGAUCGUGCCACUGUACUCCAGAUUGGGCAACAGAGCCUCAAAAAAAAUAAAUAAAAAUAAAUGGGAACAACAAUAGCCAUCUUUUAGAGUUGCUGUCAGAAUUAAAGGAGAUAAUCAUACAAAGAACUAGCCCUUUCCAACUCACUGUAAAUCCUCAAUCCAUGUUAGCUUUUUGUAACAUUAAUAACAUAGCAAUAAUAAUUUGUAGCUUGAAUAAUAGUAAGUUGCCUAAAGAGAUGUAGCUAAGGAAGUCUGAGUUAGCCUUUGGACUCUGAACUGCCUCUGCAUUUAGCACACUGAUAUGCAGAGCAAGCUGUAUCCACACUGAUCUCAGUGUGCUGCAGUUUCAAAAGCUGUUCAGCUGGGAUCAAGGAAAGCAAUGACCGCCUACUCCCCAAAUCCUUUCUAUUUCGAAAUUCCCAGGUCAAUGAUGACCAUUGCCAGAGGGUCUCAGGAAGGUGGAAUCCACAUGGAGAGUUGGAAAAGGGAGGCCGAGGUGGGCAGAUCACCUGAAGUCAGGAGUUCAAGACCAGCCUGGCCACCAUGGCGAAACCUCGUCUCUACUAAAAAAUACAAAAAUUAGCUGGGUGUUGCAGUGGGUACCUGUAAUUCCAGCUACUUAGGAGGCUGAGGCAGGGAGAACUGCUUGAACCCAGAAAGCGGAGGUUGCAGUGAGCUGUGAUUGUGCCACUACACUCCAGCCUGCAACCCUGUCACAAAAAAAAAAAAAAAAAGAAAGAAAGAAAAAAAGAAAAAUGAGUGGGAACUGAGGAAGUCUAAAUAAAAUUCUAAACAGCAAGUAUAAACCUUUGUUUUUUCAAUGAAGAGGAAUCACUAGAGUGGACACAGGAGGAUGGUGGAAAUUGAAGACAGGUAAGAAUAGAACACAUUUAUUGACGGAGAGGAGGGAGCUAGCAGAAAGUAUGGUUAACAGAGAGAGAAAAUAAGUGAAGACCCCAGUCCUUAAGGAAGGACUGUGAGGAUGGGGCAAGAGGAGGGAAGGAAAAGCGUCACCUCUUCCACUGAGGGCUAGAAAGGAGGUGGAGACAAGUGCAUAGGCAUUUGCAUGUCUGAGCAGGGCUUUGAAGAGGGUAAAUGUCUAAAAGCCUCUAGCAUCUCAGAAAAGUUGAAGAUGAGGUUAUAUGCUACACUGGAGAGGAGUAGAGACAAGACUGGAAAAUUUGAGUGCAUGGCUUCAGGUCUGAAAUAAACAUUGGAAGGCGACAGAGAGGAAGUUGAACCAGUCUGUGUAGAAGGAUGUGAGCACUGGGAUUUCAAAGACGAGGUUUGUAGAGGCCCCAGUCUGCAUCUUUAUAUGAUUUCCUCCAGCAUUUUUGUAACAUUACAUUGCAUUUUGUAACAUUGCUGAGCCCCUCUUUGAGUAAUUGGCAGAAAAGGCUGAGUCCUCAUAGAAUUGUGUGCUAUUUCUAAAACAUAUCCAUGGUUUAAAAAGCUUUAAGAUCUAUAAACUAAAAUCCACCCAUUUUGCAGGAUGAUUCACAGUGUCGACAGUUUGGAUCAAUUUCCUGAAGAAAGGACAAAACUGGAAGCUAUUCUUUAUGAGAGAAGAGAAUUCCAACCAGUGAGAUGAGAAUUGCACAAAUCCUGCAGCCCAUCUCUGCCACAGCUCAAAGUAAGCAACUUUUACUGCUGUAUUCUUAAAUAGUCCCAAGGAUCAAAUUAUAUCUCUGCUAAAACAUUGUUAGGCCUAACUUCCUCACCAAGAAUGUGGACUUUGGUCCGACUGCCAGGUUAAGAGGGCGUUUCUUGAAAACUUUUGUUUCUUUGUAGGCACAGUAUGUGCUUAUUAGAUAUAAAAGCUAAUGGAUUAACUAAUUCCUUUAGCCUUUCCAAAAUAGAGGUUUC
This 2090-nucleotide long non-coding RNA is filed under the name Homo sapiens (human). Its description in RNAcentral is "HSALNT0190881". The record is from RNAcentral. Lineage: Eukaryota; Metazoa; Chordata; Mammalia; Primates; Hominidae.